This 217-nucleotide ribosomal RNA is filed under the name uncultured bacterium. RNAcentral's name for it is "partial 16S ribosomal RNA". It matches the Rfam family "Bacterial small subunit ribosomal RNA", at positions 32 to 238 of the family's 1533-position model. The record is from RNAcentral.
AAUCAACGCUGGCGGCGUGCCUAACACAUGCAAGUCGAACGCGAAAGGGGCUUCGGCCCUGAGUAGAGUGGCGAACGGGUGAGUAACACGUGGGUGACCUACCUUCGAAUGGGGGAGUAACGUCCCGAAACGGGAACGGCUAAUAACCGCAUAACAAUCCUGCCUUUGUAACAAGGUGGGAGGAUCAAAGACUGGGGAGUCGCAAGACCUGGCGUUU